Molecule: ribosomal RNA, 911 nt
Filed under: metagenome
Description: bacterial SSU rRNA
Rfam family: Bacterial small subunit ribosomal RNA
Source: RNAcentral
AGGAAUUGAUUACUUCGGUUUGAUUUUCCUGACGAUGAGCGGCGAACGGGUGCGUAACACGUGAGAAACCUGCCUUGAAGUUCGGGAUAGCUCGGCGAAAGUCGAAUUAAUACCGGAUGUGGCCUAGGGAUAGCAUUUUCCCUUGGUUAAAGCUCGGUCACAGAGCGCUUUUAGAUGGUCUCGCGGUCUAUCAGCUUGUUGGUGAGGUAACGGCUCACCAAGGCUACGACGGAUAACUGAUCUGAGAGGAUGAUCAGUCACACUGGAACUGAGACACGGUCCAGACACCUACGGGUGGCAGCAGUCGAGAAUCAUUCACAAUGGGCGCAAGCCUGAUGGUGCGACGCCGCGUGGGGGAUGAAGGGCUUCGGUCUGUAAACCCCUGUCAUCUGUGAGUAAGGUCUCGUAUAAAAGCUACGAGGAUUGAUAUUAGCAGAAGAGGAAGGGACGGCUAACUCUGUGCCAGCAGCCGCGGUAAUACAGAGGUCCCAAGCGUUGUUCGGAUUUACUGGGCGUAAAGGGUGCGUAGGCGGUUAGAAAAGUUUGGUGUGAAAUCUUCGGGCUCAACCCGGAAACUGCACUGAAAACUAUUUAACUAGAGGAUCGGAGAGGAGAUUGGAAUUCUCAGUGUAGCAGUGAAAUGCGUAGAUAUUGAGAGGAACACCAGUUGCGAAGGCGGAUCUCUGGACGAUUCCUGACGCUGAGGCACGAAAGCUGGGGGAGCGAAGAGGAUUAGAUACCCUCGUAGUCCCAGCCGUAAACGGUGCGCACUUGCUGUGGGCGGAUUCGACCCCGUCCGUGGCGAAGCUAACGCGUUAAGUGCGCCGCCUGGGGAGUACGGUCGCAAGAUUAAAACUCAAAGAAAUUGACGGGGGCCUGCACAAGCGGUGGAGUAUGUGGCUUAAUUCGAU